UACGUAGGGUGCAAGCGUUAAUCGGAAUUACUGGGCGUAAAGCGCGCGCAGGCGGUUUUGUAAGUCUGUCGUGAAAGCCCCGGGCUCAACCUGGGAAUUGCGAUGGAGACUGCAAGGCUUGAAUCUGGCAGAGGGGGGUAGAAUUCCACGUGUAGCAGUGAAAUGCGUAGAGAUGUGGAGGAACACCGAUGGCGAAGGCAGCUCCCUGGGUCAAGAUUGACGCUCAUGCACGAAAGCGUGGGGAGCAAACAGG
This 253-nucleotide ribosomal RNA is filed under the name uncultured bacterium. Its description in RNAcentral is "partial 16S ribosomal RNA". It matches the Rfam family "Bacterial small subunit ribosomal RNA", at positions 524 to 776 of the family's 1533-position model. The record is from RNAcentral.